RNAcentral lists this ribosomal RNA (253 nucleotides) under uncultured bacterium. RNAcentral describes it as "partial 16S ribosomal RNA". It matches the Rfam family "Bacterial small subunit ribosomal RNA", at positions 524 to 776 of the family's 1533-position model. The record is from RNAcentral.
UACAGAGGUCCCGAGCGUUGUUCGGAUUCACUGGGCGUAAAGGGUGCGUAGGCGGGUCUUUAAGUCCGGGGUGAAAUCCUGGAGCUCAACUCCAGAACUGCCUUUGAUACUGAGGAUCUUGAGUCCGGGAGAGGUGAGUGGAACUGCGAGUGUAGAGGUGAAAUUCGUAGAUAUUCGCAAGAACACCAGUGGCGAAGGCGGCUCACUGGCCCGGUACUGACGCUGAGGCACGAAAGCGUGGGGAGCAAACAGG